GGCUCUUUGUAGAUAAAUAAAAUAAAGAGUCCGGCCUGCUCAAUGAUGAUUAAUCAUUAAAUAGCUGCGGAAUCCUAACCGUGUGAAAGUAGCAUAAUCAUUUGCCUCUUAAUUGGUGGCUGGAAUGAAUGGUACGAUGAAAAUAGAGCUGUCUCUAGUAUGUUUUAUUGAAAUUACCUUUUAGGUGAAAAGGCCUAAAUAUAUCUAUAAGACAAGAAGACCCUAUCGAGCUUUAAGUUGGUUAUGUGAAUAACCUGAUUAGCUUUUGGUUGGGGCAACCAGGGGGUAAAAGAAAUCCCUCUUUUAUUAAUUUACUUACUAGUAAAGAUCCAGUUAUAUUGAUCAAGGGA
RNAcentral lists this ribosomal RNA (350 nucleotides) under Patella caerulea. RNAcentral's name for it is "partial 16S ribosomal RNA". It matches the Rfam family "Archaeal large subunit ribosomal RNA", at positions 1908 to 2425 of the family's 2987-position model. The record is from RNAcentral. Lineage: Eukaryota; Metazoa; Mollusca; Gastropoda; Patellidae.